AUUGAACGCUGGCGGCAUGCCUUACACAUGCAAGUCGAACGGCAGCACGGGAGCAAUCCUGGUGGCGAGUGGCGUACGGGUGAGUAAAGUAUCGGAACGUGCCCAGUCGUGGGGGAUAACGUAGCGAAAGUUACGCUAAUACCGCAUACGAUCUAUGGAUGAAAGCGGGGGAUCGCAAGACCUCGCGCGAUUGGAGCAGCCGAUAUCAGAUUAGGUAGUUGGGGGGGUAAAGGCUCACCAAGCCGACGAUCUGUAGCUGGUCUGAGAGGACGACCAGCCACACUGGGACUGAGACACGGCCCAGACUCCUACGGGAGGCAGCAGUGGGGAAUUUUGGACAAUGGGCGAAAGCCUGAUCCAGCCAUGCCGCGUGCAGGAUGAAGGCCUUCGGGUUGUAAACUGCUUUUGUACGGAACGAAAAGGUUUGGGCUAAUAAGCUGAGCUCAUGACGGUACCGUAAGAAUAAGCACCGGCUAACUACGUGCCAGCCGCCGCAGUAA
This 500-nucleotide ribosomal RNA is filed under the name uncultured bacterium. RNAcentral describes it as "partial 16S ribosomal RNA". It matches the Rfam family "Bacterial small subunit ribosomal RNA", at positions 30 to 523 of the family's 1533-position model. The record is from RNAcentral.